This is a long non-coding RNA of Bacillus rossius redtenbacheri, 2750 nucleotides long. RefSeq lists it as uncharacterized. The transcript is spliced from 2 exons. The record is from RefSeq and is a predicted model, not a curated record. NCBI's taxonomy places the organism in Eukaryota, Metazoa, Arthropoda, Insecta, Phasmatodea, Bacillidae.
CCAAAAUAUUACAAUGCCAAACAGACUACAGAUCAACUGCCUGACCAUCCACAACCAAAAAAGAAAAAAUUCUUGAUAAAAAGUACCAAAAAACUGGGUUGUCCAGGUGUCAUGGCUGUGAGGACUGUGAGAGUCUACCAGGAAUUUACCGCAGCGGACUCGCAGAGGAAGAAGCAUGCUGUAAGUUAUGUACCUAAUACAGAUUUUAAGUUACAUCUUUUACCAAAUGCCACUUUAGUGCUUUGGUAACCAGUCAAUAUGCAAGUAGUUUUGAGCCCUCUGUAGGAACCUUAGAGAUCACAUGACAACUUAAUGUCUUUAUUUGCACAUUCACAAGAAAUAUAAUAUUACAUGAGAUGUGUUUCUGUCAUGGAUACUUAAAAGAGAAAUUGGCUUUGAAAUGUGAACUUGAAAAUGAGUGUGAUUAUGUUUUAAUAAGCAUAGCAAAAUAUACAGCCAACGUAGUUUUCUUCUUAAAUUUAUUUUAUACUGUAGAUAGUGCAAUAGUGGUUGGGAAUCAACAUAAAAUCACAUGAAUAUUCAUUAUCUCAAGUAUUACAACAUUUCCUGGUGCACGACCAUUAGUUUAGUAGGUCUUAUAACUAAGCAAGUUGUAGGCUUCGCGUGCAGGCAACUUCAUGUGUCUGGUGCACGCGGUGAACUGCCGUGAGGCAGUAAUCGUAGCAACGCCUACCUCCACCUGUGCAUGCAUUGGAACUUCUGACCACCACAAUCAUAACUUAACUUUUACGAAAAUGGUGUUCUUGUUAAUUUCAAUUGAUAGUGACAAUAUAUAAUAUUUCUUGUGAUGUUUGUAAUUUUAUAUGUGUAUGUAUACAAAAACAUGUACAAAUAUAAUAUUUCAGUGACAAAUAAAUUGAUAUUAAUAGCAAAAAUUAUUAUCUCCAAUCUUAAACCCACAUGAAUUCCACUAAUAUUUAUUACUUCCUAUUAUAUUUCAUGGUAAGCAUAUAUUUCAUAUAUUAAAGACAUAAAAAGUAAUUGGUAGGGCCUAGAAACACUGCUUUCAACAUCUUAAGAGAAAUAUAAUAAAUAUAAUGAAUCAAAUUGUACUUGUUAAAAUAACAUAAAAGUUUUUUAAUUCUUCGGUUAACAUAAUAGGCAAAACUCAUUUUAAUUUGGCAACCUAGAUUGAAGUGAAUUUCAAUAUCAUACUAUUAUGGGAAGUUAAUAGAUUAUACAUACAGUGGCAAAACCAUCCAGGCCUUCAAGAACCUAUAUUUAGAAGCAGUAUAAUAUUAGAACACGUUUACUUCACACUCAUAUGAUUAAUUUAAAACUUUUGUAUGUGAACAAUUUUUAUACACAGGAUGUUGUGUAAAUGUAACAUGAAUAUUAAUUACCUUACAGGCUAAAAAAUCACAAGUUGCACAAAUUUAGAUAUUAAGGUGUGUGUAUUUCCCAUAUGCUGAAUCGGCAGCUAUGUGCCUUAUGAAAAUAUUGUAAUAGUAUGUACUUUUUUUAUUCCAUUUUACUACAUACAAGAAGAUAAACUGCUUGAAGCCUUUAUGAACAAAAUGCAUAUUCAACCAUUUUUAAAGUUCGACAGCAGUCUCUUGCCAUUAUGUUAAUUCAUCUGCUACAGCCAUUAAGUGUUUGAUUAAUUGGUUGAUUGAACAUACGCUUGCGACUGAGCUUUCGCCUGGUGGAAAGGAGUUCUCUCUCUCCAACUCAUUCUCCUAAAAUUCUAAAACCUCCUCUGUAAGUCUUUUCCUCCUCUCACAUCCAGUAUCCCCCUUUCAAGCCCAUCCAACUCUCGCCCCAUCCGCACCAGAAAUACCUGCUUUCCUCUCUCGGUUAUCUCCACUCCUCUGAAUCUUCCACUCAUGAUCUCCCCUCCCUUUAUACCUCCCUCUGUUAAACCUAGCUCCCAACUUUCUCCAGCCCUCCUCCCCUUUAAUUAACAUAAACAAUUUCAUGAGUUUCCACUUUCCCCCUCCUUUACAGUGUGUCCAACUCUAGUUCGAUCAUUACCGUAUGUAACAGACCUUCUCAAUAAUAUUUUUAAAAGCUAUCCAUGUACCUUUCCUAACUUUUUGUCACUUUAGUUAACAUGGAGUAGCCUAAAUAAAUGGUGAAUGUAUCUCAAAUAUUUUUUUUCUUCCAACCUAUGCCACAUAAAAACAAAUACAAAUAUAUAUCUUCAUAGUUCAUUAAUAGAUUUACAUACUGUGGCAUGAAUACAAAUAUGAUACAAUGAAUGUGUUAACACUAAUUUUUCAAAGCAUCAAAUCUUUCACUUUCUUUUAAAUGCAUUGAAAAGAUGUCCAUGAUAUAAACAUAUACAAUCAUAAGAUUUUCCCAUUGAUAACCAGAGAUUCUAUAAGGUACGUAUUAAAUAUCAAUGAAAUAGUGACUACACCAGUGAUCCUGUAGGCUGUAAACUCAUGAACCUAUGUUAAUCUUCACAACCUAAAGAAGAUAAUAAAACUGAAAUAAAUAAAUUUCUCGCAAGAAAUGCAAAUACAACUGAUGCACCAUACAGAAAAAGUCCAUGUGUUAAAGCUCGAUACAAUAAAUUGAAGAAAAAAAUUAACGAAUAGGAAUGUGAACUAUCAAACCGACAAAUCAUAUGCUCAAACCAUACACGACUCCGCUCAUUAGGUAUUUCUUAUAAAUUUCUGAUACGUAUUUUAAAUGAAAAUGCGACAAAACAAUAUAACCUCAAUAACCGGUAAUAUUUUCUACAAGCAACGACCAUAUACCACCCCCGUGUUUACAUUCUUUGU